RNAcentral lists this ribosomal RNA (460 nucleotides) under Granulicatella adiacens. RNAcentral describes it as "bacterial SSU rRNA". It matches the Rfam family "Bacterial small subunit ribosomal RNA", at positions 28 to 477 of the family's 1533-position model. Lineage: Bacteria; Bacillati; Bacillota; Bacilli; Lactobacillales; Carnobacteriaceae. The record is from RNAcentral.
GACGAACGCUGGCGGCGUGCCUAAUACAUGCAAGUCGAACGAGAGCGACCGGUGCUUGCACUGGUCAAUCUAGUGGCGAACGGGUGAGUAACACGUGGGUAACCUGCCCAUCAGAGGGGGAUAACAUCCGGAAACGGAUGCUAAAACCGCAUAGGUCUUCGAGCCGCAUGGCUUGAAGAGGAAAAGAGGCGCAAGCUUCUGCUGAUGGAUGGACCCGCGGUGCAUUAGCUAGUUGGUGAGGUAACGGCUCACCAAGGCCGUGAUGCAUAGCCGACCUGAGAGGGUGAUCGGCCACAUUGGGACUGAGACACGGCCCAAACUCCUACGGGAGGCAGCAGUAGGGAAUCUUCCGCAAUGGACGCAAGUCUGACGGAGCAACGCCGCGUGAGUGAAGAAGGUUUUCGGAUCGUAAAACUCUGUUGUUAGAGAAGAACAAGUGCUAGAGUAACUGUUAGCGCCU